UUCGGGACGCCGGCGAGUGGCGAACGGGUGAGUAACACGUGGAGACCUGCCCUGGGGUGGGGGAUAACAACUGGAAACGGUUGCUAAUACCGCAUACGCCUUACGAGGGAAAGAUUUAUUGCCCUGGGGGGGUUCCGCGUCGGAUUAGCUUGUUGGUGGGGUAACGGCCUACCAAGGCGACGAUCCGUAGCUGGUCUUAGAGGAUGAUCAGCCACACUGGAACUGAGACACGGUCCAGACUCCUACGGGAGGCAGCAGUGGGGAAUAUUGCGCAAUGGGGGAAACCCUGACGCAGCGAUGCCGCGUGGGUGAAUAAGGCCUUAGGGUUGUAAAGCCCUUUCAGUGGGAACGAUGAUGACGGUACCCACAGAAGAAGCCCCGGCUAACUCCGUGCCAGCAGCCGCGGUAAUACGGAGGGGGCGAGCGUUGUUCGGAAUUAUUGGGCGUAAAGAGCGCGUAGGCGGCUUUUCAAG
Molecule: ribosomal RNA, 473 nt
Filed under: uncultured Magnetococcus sp.
Lineage: Bacteria; Pseudomonadati; Pseudomonadota; Magnetococcia; Magnetococcales; Magnetococcaceae
Description: bacterial SSU rRNA
Rfam family: Bacterial small subunit ribosomal RNA
Source: RNAcentral